Molecule: long non-coding RNA, 1450 nt
Organism: Mus musculus (house mouse)
Lineage: Eukaryota; Metazoa; Chordata; Mammalia; Rodentia; Muridae
Product: predicted gene, 52360
Exons: 3
Source: RefSeq, a predicted model, not a curated record
GACUCACAGGUUGAGAACUGCUCAAUCUGAUUGAGGCAAUUCUUCAGUUAAAGUUUCCUCUUCUCAAGGGCUAAGUUGUGUCAAGUUGAUGAUAAAACAAACUAAGGUAUGGUCUCUAUGUUUGCCUGUGAGCUUCUAGGCAACCAGAGUGAAUAAAUGAUUGGCUACUUAGUUCUUACUUCUCUCAAAGAAAACCUUCCCACUUCUUUAUGACUUGGCAUCCUUCCUCCCGGCUGUGAGCAGAAAGUCCUUAAAUUCCUCAAUUUUCCGAGGCAUGGCGACGGAGGCUCGGCUCUGGUGUCUGCACCUGCAGGGGCAAUCCCGAGUUAACCAGCCGCGAUCCUGCUUCCCCGAUCCGCCCCACCGUACCCUUCCCUCCUCCCUCCCUCAGAUUUCAUUUUUAAUUGUGUGAACCCAUGUGGGCCACUGAAGACCCAAAUAACGGGCUGGAUCCCUGGAACUAGAAUUACAGGCUGUUGGUGCGUCGCCCAAUGAGAGCGUUGGGAACCAAACUCAGAUCUGUGAGAGCAGCACAUGCUCUUAGCCACUAAGCUAAGAAGUAAGCUUUGGGGGCAGCACAUCCUACAGUACAUUGAGCCAGCGCAGUGUCUCAGCAGGGAACAAAGGGAGGUGAGAUAGAAGAUGCCUUCAACAUCUUUAACCUCAGUGAGCAAGGCACCAGUCAGAGGUCCUUCUGAGGAAAUCCCCAGACACAGUGCCCACCAGCUGGCAAAGGGCAGACAGAGUUCAGAAUAGGAAGCCGCAGUCAAUGCCAACAAGCAAUGCCGAGAUGUCAGUAUUGAAGGAUGCUGAAGACGCCAGCAAAAGUGAUACUGUGUGAUGGACUUGGGAGGAAGCUGCAAAUGAGGUAAGUGGAAAGAGGGAUCAAAGGGUGCAUCACAAUUAAGACAGCAAUAGUUCAGUAGAGAACGUGGAAGUGAGGCGAGCACACCGUGUGUUUGGUACCACUUCUCUUUGCUAGCUGCCCCAAGUAGGAAGCCUACAUCUCCAGCAUUGUAGUAGUUGCAUGGGGUGGGCAGAGUUUGAGUCGGUGCUCGGGAUGAGUUUCCAAUUCUGUUCUUGUUUCCGUUCAUAUUCCAGCCACUCUCUACCUACUGUGUGCCUGUGCCAGGCUCUGCUCCUAAGCCUGGUGGAGCAGAGUUCAAAGACAGAGCACUCCAUCUCAAAAGGUCUCACUCUUGAAGGAAAGAUGAAGGAGGGAGGAAAAGAGGACUAUGGCGGGAGGACGGUUUCUCAGUCAUCUGGAGGAACAGGAAAGGAGGGGGAGGGGAACCUGGAACUGUGUUGGUUUCGUGUCAAUAUUUAUCUGUCUGCACACAUUCACUUCAUCACUGUACAAGUCCAUAAUGCAUUCACCAAGAACACAGUCACAACCACUGGAUUACUCUCUCCUCUCUUCUCCUCUCCUCUCCCCUCUCUCCUCUCUCUA